AGUGAACGCUGGCGGUAGGCCUAACACAUGCCAGUCGAACGGCAGCACAGUAAGAGCUUGCUCUUACGGGUGGCGAGUGGCGGACGGGUGAGGAAUACAUCGGAAUCUACUUUUUCGUGGGGGAUAACGUAGGGAAACUUACGCUAAUACCGCAUACGACCUACGGGUGAAAGCAGGGGAUCUUCGGACCUUGCGCGAUUGAAUGAGCCGAUGUCGGAUUAGCUAGUUGGCGGGGUAAAGGCCCACCAAGGCGACGAUCCGUAGCUGGUCUGAGAGGAUGAUCAGCCACACUGGAACUGAGACACGGUCCAGACUCCUACGGGGGGCAGCAGUGGGGAAUAUUGGACAAUGGGCGCAAGCCUGAUCCAGCCAUACCGGGUGGGUGAAGAAGGCCUUCGGGUUGUAAAGCCCUUUUGUUGGGAAAGAAAAGCAGCAGGUUAAUACCCCGCUGUUCUGACGGUACCCAAAGAAUAAGCACCGGCUAACUUCGUG
RNAcentral lists this ribosomal RNA (492 nucleotides) under uncultured bacterium. Its description in RNAcentral is "partial 16S ribosomal RNA". It matches the Rfam family "Bacterial small subunit ribosomal RNA", at positions 29 to 507 of the family's 1533-position model. The record is from RNAcentral.